Molecule: ribosomal RNA, 253 nt
Filed under: uncultured bacterium
Lineage: Bacteria
Description: partial 16S ribosomal RNA
Rfam family: Bacterial small subunit ribosomal RNA
Source: RNAcentral
CACGUAGGGGGCAAGCGUUGUCCGGAUUUAUUGGGCGUAAAGGGCUCGUAGGCGGCCAACUAAGUCAGACGUGAAAUCCCCAGGCUCAACCUGGGAACUGCGUCUGAUACUGGAUGGCUUGAAUCCGGGAGAGGGAUGCAGAAUUCCAGGUGUAGCGGUGAAAUGCGUAGAUAUCUGGAGGAAUACCGGUGGCGAAGGCGGCAUCCUGGACCGGCAUUGACGCUGAGGAGCGAAAGCCAGGGGAGCAAACGGG